UACGGGGGGGGGCAAGCGUUGUUCGGAAUUACUGGGCGUAAAGGGCUCGUAGGCGGCCAACUAAGUCAGACGUGAAAUCCCUCGGCUUAACCGGGGGAACUGCGUCUGAUACUGGAUGGCUUGAAUCCGGGGAGAGGGAUGCGGAAUUCCAGGUGUAGCGGUGAAAUGCGUAGAUAUCUGGAGGAACACCGGUGGCGAAGGCGGCAUCCUGGACCGGCAUUGACGCUGAGGAGCGAAAGCCAGGGGGAGCAAACGGG
This 257-nucleotide ribosomal RNA is filed under the name uncultured bacterium. RNAcentral's name for it is "partial 16S ribosomal RNA". It matches the Rfam family "Bacterial small subunit ribosomal RNA", at positions 524 to 776 of the family's 1533-position model. The record is from RNAcentral.